Molecule: RNA transcript, 1453 nt
Organism: Sorex araneus (European shrew)
Lineage: Eukaryota; Metazoa; Chordata; Mammalia; Eulipotyphla; Soricidae
Gene: IDH3B
Gene name: isocitrate dehydrogenase (NAD(+)) 3 non-catalytic subunit beta
Exons: 13
Source: RefSeq, a predicted model, not a curated record
CGGCUUCCGGCGUUGUUGCCCACGUGACUUCCGGUGGAGACAUGGCGGCUCUCUGCAGUGUCCGCUGGCUGACCCGGGCACUGGUGGCCGCCCCGCACCCCGCGCCAUGGAGGAGCCUGGGCACGUCGGCCGCGGCCCAGGCCGCCGCGCGGAGCCAGGCCGAGGACGUGAAGGUGGAGGGCGCGUUCCCCGUGACCAUGCUGCCGGGCGACGGCGUGGGCCCCGAACUCAUGCACGCCGUCAAGGAAGUAUUCAAGGCCGCCUGUGUCCCAGUGGAGUUCCAGGAGUACCACCUGAGCGAGGUGCAGAAUAUGGCCUCUGAGGAGAAGCUGGACCAAGUGCUGAAGUCCAUGAAGGAGAACAAAGUGGCCAUUAUUGGAAAGAUCCACACCCCGAUGGAGUAUAAGGGGGAACUGGCCUCCUAUGAUAUGCGGCUGAGGCGGACGUUGGACUUGUUUGCCAAUGUCGUGCACGUGAAGUCGCUUCCUGGGUACAUGACCCGGCACAACAAUCUGGACCUGGUGAUCAUUCGAGAGCAGACCGAAGGCGAGUACAGCUCCCUGGAACACGAGAGCGCCAAGGGUGUGAUUGAGUGCCUGAAGAUCGUCACUCGCACCAAGUCCCAGCGCAUCGCCAAGUUUGCCUUUGACUAUGCCACCAAGAAGGGGCGGAGCAAGGUCACAGCUGUGCACAAGGCCAACAUCAUGAAACUCGGGGAUGGCUUGUUCCUGCAAUGCUGUAAGGAAAUUGCCGAGUUGUACCCCAAGAUCAAGUUUGAGACGAUGAUCAUAGAUAACUGCUGCAUGCAGCUGGUGCAGAACCCUUAUCAGUUUGAUGUGCUUGUGAUGCCCAAUCUCUACGGGAACAUCAUUGACAAUCUGGCUGCGGGCCUGGUGGGGGGAGCCGGCGUGGUCCCUGGCGAGAGCUACAGUGCCGAGUACGCAGUCUUCGAGACGGGCGCCCGGCACCCGUUUGCCCAGGCGGUGGGCAGGAAUAUUGCCAACCCCACAGCCAUGCUGCUCUCAGCCUCCAACAUGCUCCGGCACCUCAAUCUCGAAUACCACUCCACCAUGAUUUCCGAUGCCGUGAAGAAGGUGAUCAAAGUCGGCAAGGUGCGGACUCGAGACAUGGGCGGCUACUGCACCACCACCGACUUCAUCAAGUCCGUCAUCAGCCACCUGCACCCCCAAGGGGGCUAAGCCCAUUAUUCUUUGCAGCCUAACAAGGAAGGACCAUCCCACCCACACAUCCCUUCAGUACAGUGGACCAGCCAGAAGCAAGCCCUUAAGCUAGAGCCAGACCAGUCACUCCCGCUCCUAGGUCCGAACUUCCGACAUGGGUGGCUAUGCCACCUGCCACGACUUCACUGAGGCGGUCAUUGAUGCCCUGCCCCACUCAUAGGCCCCACCCACACCCAUAGGUGGUAUCCAAUAAAUACACUGAUCACAUUCGA